GACGAACGCUGGCGGCGUGCCUAACACAUGCAAGUCGAACGGUAAGGCCGUUUCGGGUGUCCCCGAGUGGCGACCGGGGGCGUAACACGUAGGUAACCUGCGCACAACUCUGGGACAACGGUAGGAAAGUGGUGCAACUUCUGGUAAUGUGGUACUGCUGCAAGGUGGGGGUUCGAAAGCUCCGGCGGUGGUGGAUGGACUAGCGGGCUAACAGCUUGUUGGGGGGGUAGUGGGCUACCGAGGCGGCGACGGGGAGCUGGCCAGAGGGAGUGACCGGCCACAUUGAGACUGAGAGACGGCCCAGACUCCGACGGGUGGCAGCAGUGGGGAAUAUUGCACAAGGCGCACAGGCCUGAUGCAGCAACGCCUCGGGCGGGAUGACGGUCUUCGGGUUGGAGACCGCUUUCAGCAUGAACGAAGCUUUUUGUGACGGUACCUGCAGAAGAAGCACCGGCUAACUACGUG
This 465-nucleotide ribosomal RNA is filed under the name uncultured bacterium. RNAcentral describes it as "partial 16S ribosomal RNA". It matches the Rfam family "Bacterial small subunit ribosomal RNA", at positions 28 to 507 of the family's 1533-position model. The record is from RNAcentral.